GGUGGUGGCAGGCCCAGAGGCUGUUGACAGGACCAGAGGCUGGAGCUCAGGGCUAGGCCUGCCCUGCUGCUGAGGCCCCGCCCUCCCCACCCUGAGGUGGGGGCCCACCAGGAUGAGCAAGCUGCCUAGGGAGCUGACCCGAGACUUGGAGCGCAGCCUGCCUGCCGUGGCCUCCCUGGGCUCCUCACUGUCCCACAGCCAGAGCCUCUCCUCGCACCUCCUUCCGCCGCCUGAGAAGCGAAGGGCCAUCUCUGAUGUCCGCCGCACCUUCUGUCUCUUCGUCACCUUCGACCUGCUCUUCAUCUCCCUGCUCUGGAUCAUCGAACUGAAUACCAACACAGGCAUCCGUAAGAACUUGGAGCAGGAGAUCAUCCAGUACAACUUUAAAACUUCCUUCUUCGACAUCUUCGUCCUGGCCUUCUUCCGCUUCUCUGGACUGCUCCUAGGCUAUGCCAUGCUGCGGCUCCGGCACUGGUGGGUGAUUGCGGUCACGACGCUGGUGUCCAGUGCAUUCCUCAUUGUCAAGGUCAUCCUCUCUGAGGUCAGUGGCUCAGGGUCUGGCCAGUCUGGUGGGCAUCAGACCUGAGUGGUAUGCUUCUAGAGAGGAGCAUUUCUCUAAUUUGGGGUGUCUGUCCCUGUUGUCCGGGUUAGGGGGAGAGGGAAUCCUGUCCUUUGGUAUCUAUAAGGAAUCAUCCUUCACCCGCUUCCCUGACUUAGCCCCUUGCAGCUCUAGGAAUCAGAAGGUUCUUUCUCCAGCCUAACCCCAGUUUAUCCUGCUGCAGACUUGAGAGGGUUCCCAAGCAGCUGCUACCAGGAAUGGGGUGUAUGCCAGUUUGACUGGCUAGAGUUGGUAGCCACAGAAGGGGGCUCUGGGUUUGGGGUGACCCCUGCCAUGGAGCUCAGCCCCCUCCCUUCACAGCUGCUCAGCAAAGGGGCAUUUGGCUACCUGCUCCCCAUCGUCUCUUUUGUCCUCGCCUGGUUGGAGACCUGGUUCCUUGACUUCAAAGUCCUACCCCAGGAAGCUGAAGAGGAGCGAUGGUAUCUUGCCGCCCAGGUUGCUGUUGCCCGUGGACCCCUGCUGUUCUCCGGUGCUCUGUCCGAGGGACAGUUCUAUUCACCCCCAGAAUCCUUUGCAGGGUCUGACAAUGAAUCAGAUGAAGAAGUUGCUGGAAAGAAAAGUUUCUCUGCUCAGGAGCGGGAGUACAUCCGCCAGGGGAAGGAGGCCACAGCAGUGGUGGACCAGAUCUUGGCCCAGGAAGAGAACUGGAAGUUUGAGAAGAAUAAUGAAUAUGGGGACACCGUGUACACCAUUGAAGUUCCCUUUCACGGCAAGACGUUUAUCCUGAAGACCUUCCUGCCCUGUCCUGCGGAGCUCGUGUACCAGGAGGUGAUCCUGCAGCCCGAGAGGAUGGUGCUGUGGAACAAGACAGUGACUGCCUGCCAGAUCCUGCAGCGAGUGGAAGACAACACCCUCAUCUCCUAUGACGUGUCUGCAGGGGCUGCGGGCGGCGUGGUCUCCCCAAGGGACUUCGUGAAUGUCCGGCGCAUUGAGCGGCGCAGGGACCGAUACUUGUCAUCAGGGAUCGCCACCUCACACAGUGCCAAGCCCCCGACGCACAAAUAUGUCCGGGGAGAGAAUGGCCCUGGGGGCUUCAUCGUGCUCAAGUCGGCCAGUAACCCCCGUGUCUGCACCUUUGUCUGGAUUCUUAAUACAGAUCUCAAGGGCCGCCUGCCCCGGUACCUCAUCCACCAGAGCCUCGCGGCCACCAUGUUUGAAUUUGCCUUUCACCUGCGACAGCGCAUCAGCGAGCUGGGGGCCCGGGCAUGACUGUGCCCCCUCCCACCCUGCAGGCCAGGGUCCUGUCGCCACCACUUCCAGAGCCAGAAAGGGUGCCAGUUGGGCUCGCGCUGCCCACAUGGGACCUGGCCCCAGGCUGUCACCCUCCACCGAGCCACGCAGUGCCUGGAGUUGACUGUCUGAGCAGGCUGUGGGGUGGAGCACUGGACUCCGGGGCCCCACUGGCUGGAGGAAGUGGGGUCUGGCCUGUUGAUGUUUACAUGGUGCCCUGCCUCCUGGAGGAGCAGAUUGCUCUGCCCCGCCUUGCCAGGGCAGGGUCUGGGCUGGGCACCUGACUUGGCUGGGGAGGACCAGGGCCCUGGGCAGGGCAGGGCAGCCUGUCACCCAUGUGAAGAUGAAGGGGCUCUUCAUCUGCCUGCGCUCUCGUCGGUUUUUUUAGGAUUAUUGAAAGAGUCUGGGACCCUUGUUGGGGAGUGGGUGGCAGGUGGGGAUGGGCUGCUGGCCAUGAAUCUCUGCCUCUCCCAGGCUGUCCCACUCCUCCCAGGGCCUCCUGGGGGACCUUUGUAUUAAGCCAAUUAAAAACAUGAAUUAAAAAAAAAAAAAA
This 2402-nucleotide small RNA is filed under the name Pan troglodytes (chimpanzee). RNAcentral's name for it is "retained intron". The record is from RNAcentral. Lineage: Eukaryota; Metazoa; Chordata; Mammalia; Primates; Hominidae.